UAGGGAAUCUUCCACAAUGGGCGCAAGCCUGAUGGAGCAACACCGCGUGAGUGAAGAAGGGUUUCGGCUCGUAAAGCUCUGUUGUUGGAGAAGAACGUGCGUGAGAGUAACUGUUCACGCAGUGACGGUAUCCAACCAGAAAGUCACGGCUAACUACGUGCCAGCAGCCGCGGUAAUACGUAGGUGGCAAGCGUUAUCCGGAUUUAUUGGGCGUAAAGCGAGCGCAGGCGGUUGCUUAGGUCUGAUGUGAAAGCCUUCGGCUUAACCGAAGAAGGGCAUCGGAAACCGGGCGACUUGAGUGCAGAAGAGGACAGUGGAACUCCAUGUGUAGCGGUGGAAUGCGUAGAUAUAUGGAAGAACACCAGUGGCGAAGGCGGCUGUCUGGUCUGCAACUGACGCUGAGGCUCGAAAGCAUGGGUAGCGAACAGGAUUAGGUACCCUGGUAGUCCAUGCUGUAAACGAUGAGUGCUAGGUGUUGGAGGGUUUCCGCCCUUCAGUGCCGGAGCUAACGCAUUAAGCACUCCGCCUGGGGAGUACGACCGCAAGGUUG
RNAcentral lists this ribosomal RNA (550 nucleotides) under uncultured bacterium. RNAcentral's name for it is "bacterial SSU rRNA". It matches the Rfam family "Bacterial small subunit ribosomal RNA", at positions 355 to 896 of the family's 1533-position model. The record is from RNAcentral.